Sinocyclocheilus rhinocerous is the source of this 201-nucleotide long non-coding RNA. RefSeq lists it as uncharacterized. The record is from RefSeq and is a predicted model, not a curated record. NCBI's taxonomy places the organism in Eukaryota, Metazoa, Chordata, Actinopteri, Cypriniformes, Cyprinidae. The transcript has 3 exons.
CUCCAUAGAAACUACAAAACACUCUGGAUAAAGUCGAGCAAUGGACGAGGAUCAGUCUGCUGAGGAGACUACAUUUGUUGUGGACGAGAUUACCACAGUAAUCAAAACUGUUGAAAGCACCAUUGGAAACAGCUCUUACCGAUAAUCAAACAGCGGAUGUCAAGCAUUGUAGAGUCAAGUCUAAGCCAGCUAACUAAAUUA